UCCGUUCGUUUGUUUUGCUACCCUGCUAACUUUUGUCGUUACAGGCGGCCGCCAGCCGCUAUUAGGUGCUUUUGUAACUUUUCUGCACUGUACAAAUAGGGUAUAUCCCUGUUUUCUCAAAAAAAAAAUAUAUAUAUGUUGGAUGGUUAUUUAAAGAAUAUUGAGAAUAAUGAAAGAUAUAUAUAUAUAAAUAAUUCAAAAUAAAUUAUUUUUAUAUAUUAUAUAUUAGAAUACAUGUUAUUUUAUAAUAAUAAUAAUCAUAAUUAUUAUUUUUAUUAGGGGCAUUUGCUUAUAUACCCUUGAAAAAUUUCCGUCUUUUUGAUUUAUCCAUCUCAUAAGGCUAAUAUUAAAAAUAUCUUUUAAUAUUCUAAUUUAUUUCCGAUGUAACCCUACAGUUAAAUUCUAUUAAUAAACUAUUAAUUAGCAACAAUCGUUAUUUUUGUGAAAGUGCUAUUUUGCUCUUUCAAAUAUGUUCUUCUACUAUCACCAACUUUUAUUAUUUACCCUUAAGAUAAGGACGAAAGAAGUAUUUUGAUUCUUUUCAAAUAUAUCCUUCUACUAUCACCAACUUUUUUUAUUUGUCUUUAAAUUAAGAGCAAAAUAAGUAUUUUAAUUUUUUUUUAACUCUAACACUACAACAGAAUUAGGUUAUAGGGACACAUAUUUGGGACACUUUUCAGUAAGUGUUCCAUUUAUGCUAAAACUUAAAAACACAUCUACUAAUGCCUAAAUAUAAAGCCCAAUCCAACUAAAAUAAAAGAUUACUCUACUCAACCCACCACACUUAGUCCAUUUGGCCCGAUUACAAACAAAAAAGAAAAAAAAAAAGAAAAAUCAAUUACCAUCUUUUUUUCUCUCUUCACUCAAUCUACUGAAAUUCUAGACGAAGAGCCUGUCGUCCUCCUCCGCCACCGUAGCCAACGAGAUAAAGUUUCGGCGGUUGCUAAAUGCUUAAAUAAGUGUUGGUAAAUUAGCAGCACUCUUUUAGAUUAUAGCGACACUCUUUAACUGUCACUAUAUACCUAGCGACCACACAUAUAGCAACACUUUUUAAAAGUAUCGGUAAUUUUAGCUAGCAGCACUUUUUUGACAUGUACCUAUAUUUAAAAGUGUCGCUAUAGACCGUUUUUGUUGUAGUGUAAUAGAAAUUUAAUCCGGAUUUAAUCCGAGAUAACUUAAUAGGUACUAACAGUAGGGAUAUUUUUGAAUAACGGAGAACUAUACGAGGGUAUAUUUGAAAAAAAA
This 1245-nucleotide long non-coding RNA is filed under the name Ananas comosus (pineapple). RNAcentral's name for it is "long non-coding RNA (ACOM_LNC023831)". Lineage: Eukaryota; Viridiplantae; Streptophyta; Magnoliopsida; Poales; Bromeliaceae. The record is from RNAcentral.